This 4643-nucleotide long non-coding RNA is filed under the name Linum usitatissimum (flax). RNAcentral describes it as "long non-coding RNA (LUSI_LNC003180)". Lineage: Eukaryota; Viridiplantae; Streptophyta; Magnoliopsida; Malpighiales; Linaceae. The record is from RNAcentral.
GCACGGGACUCUGCUCCUUUCCAACACCCACACUUCUUUCUUUCUAUACCCUUCUUCUUCAACAAACAGCUCUCCCUUGUUCAUUUUCGUUUGGUCCGUCCAUUUUGUUUGUUUUGUGUAAGCAGGUUGGUGCUGUGCUGUUUCUCUCUUUCUUUCUUUCCUCCACUAUCCAUCCAUUGUUGCAUUCCUCCGUUUCUGCUUCUUCUUCGCUUUGGAUCCCCCUCCAAAAGGAAGAAAGAGUUAUGGCGGGAUGUACUUCUUGAUCACUGUGAUUUCUGUAGUUUGAUCACCGUAGUGUUUGUUUCCUCCCUCCCUCCCUCCACCUGGGUUUUGACGAAACUUGGAUUUCCAUGUUACCUACUACUGCUUACUGCAAAUAAAAUAAUAUUAGUAAGCAAAGCUUAGCACGCAAACGUAUGGAUUCGUUGGAACUUGAUUCGUCCUUAUGACCACCAGUACCUCAUCAUCCGACUGACCAACUUUCGCUCCACGCUUCACCUUUGAAAUUUUCUCUUCCUCUGUUUUACGAAUAUAAAUAUGGAAGAUCAGUGAUGCUUAAUUAACUAUAGUCAUCUCAUCCUUUCCAAAUAACUCUCUCUCUCUUGCUUUUUUAAAUUUAAUUUCAGGUCUGGUUUGAAGUUUAAUUGCUGUUGCUUUUUGACUUUCUGGUGAUUCGUCCAUCUCCGUAUGUCAUCGCAAAUGAAGUAUUUUCAAAAUGGGAGUCCCUUUGUUUCUUGCUUGAUUUUCUGACUUUUGAUUUCCAAAAAAAUAAAUUGCAGGUUAUUAUAUUGUUUGAGAAUCAUCAUCCAUGGCUGAUCGCGUGAUCACGCGUGUUCACAGCAUCAAGGAGCGCUUUGAUGGAACUCUGGCUGCCAACCGCAACGAGCUCGUCUCCUUCCUCUCCAGGUAACGAACUCCUCAUCACUCCUGCAUGCAAUGCAAUUGCGGAGUCAACAACUCUAGUAAGUAGUAAUGGCUUUUUGUCUUGCCUUUCCGAGCAGGAUUGAGGCGAAGGGAAAGGGAAUUCUGCAGCACCACCACAUCGUUUCAGAGUUUGAAGCGAUCCCUGAGGCGAACCAGACGGUUCUCCAGGAAGGUGUGUUUGGCGAGGUGCUGAGAUCUGCUCAGGAAGCGAUCGUGCUUCCCCCCUGGGUUGCUCUGGCUGUUAGACCAAGGCCUGGUGUCUGGGAAUACUUUAGGGUCAAUCUCCAUGCUCUAGUUGUGGAGGAGCUCACUGUGCCUGAGUAUCUUCACUUCAAGGAAGAGCUCGUCGAUGGAACGUAAGUAAUAUCAUGAUCAGCUCUGUUUUUAAUUUCAUUCUUUCGUUUGGAAUGGAAAAAUCAAAUUUUUAAGAUGAAAUUGCGAUUGUUGCAGUGCUAAUGGAAACUUCGUGCUGGAACUGGACUUCGAGCCGUUCAACGCUUCAUUCCCACGCUCCAGCCUCUCCAAAUCCAUCGGCAAUGGCGUUGAGUUUCUCAACCGUCACUUGUCCGCCAAGCUGUUCCAUGACAAGGAGAGCAUGCACCCGCUCCUUGAGUUCCUCAAGGUUCACUGCCACAAAGGAAAGGUAUAACUAUAAACCCUAGAAAAUGAACAAUUGUUUGGUACGUGGGUCUCAGCACUAAUUUUAUUUUGUUUGGCUGGUGAUUUUGGGGGUUACAGAACAUGAUGCUGAACGAUAGGAUUCAGAACUUCAACUCUCUGCAACAUGUGCUGAGGAAGGCUGAAGAGUACCUCAUAACUCUACCUGCGGAGACGCCUUACUCCCAGUUCGAGCACAAAUUCCAGGACAUUGGACUUGAGAGAGGGUGGGGUGACUGUGCUGAGCGUGCCCUUGAGAUGAUCCAGCUUCUGCUGGACCUUCUCGAGGCUCCUGAUCCUUGCACCCUCGAGACUUUCCUCGGCAGAAUCCCGAUGGUGUUCAAUGUUGUCAUCAUGUCUCCUCAUGGCUACUUCGCCCAGGACAACGUGUUGGGUUACCCGGACACUGGUGGCCAGGUUGUGUGUGUUGGGUUACCCGGACACAGGUGGCCAGGUUGUGUACAUCUUGGAUCAAGUUCGCGCUUUGGAGGAGGAAAUGCUCCUCCGUAUCAAGCAGCAAGGCCUUGACAUCACCCCUCGUAUUCUUAUUGUAUGAACUUUUCCUUGUUUUGCAUAAAUGACCUGCGCUGUUCUUUCUUCUAAUCUGUUGUUUGUUGAUGUGUGAUAUGUGCAGAUUACUCGUCUCCUUCCUGAUGCAGUUGGAACCACUUGUGGGCAACGCAUGGAGAGAGUGUAUGGAACUGAAUACUCCGAUAUUCUUCGAAUCCCCUUUAGGACUGAGAAGGGCAUUGUUCGCAAAUGGAUCUCUAGAUUUGAAGUCUGGCCAUACCUAGAGACCUUUACUGAGGUUCAUCUUCUUUUGUUUUCAUAUUCUGAUCAUGCAACUAUUAUAUUUGCUUAUUUGCCUUACAGGUCAAGCAGAGCUUUACUUUCCUAUUUUCCCUAUAUACCAUUUUAGGAUGUAGCUGUUGAAAUUGGCAAGGAGUUUCAAGGCAAACCCGAUCUCAUCAUUGGAAACUACAGCGAUGGAAACAUCGUUGCUACAUUGCUGUCACAUAAAUUGGGGGUCACAGAGGUAUAAUUCUUCUUUGUGGAUAACUAGCUGUACUGAUCAAUUGCAACCUUGUUUCUGGGGUUUUGAUUCUUUUAUGUUGGGUUUUUUUAUGCAGUGUACAAUUGCUCAUGCUCUUGAGAAAACCAAGUAUCCAGAGUCUGAUAUCUACUGGAAGAAGAUGGAUGAGAAGUACCACUUCUCUUGUCAGUUCACUGCUGAUCUCAUUGCCAUGAAUCAUGCUGAUUUCAUCAUCACCAGUACCUUCCAAGAGAUUGCUGGAAGGUGAAAUUCUCGCCAAGAAAAGAAACUCAACCCAGACUAUUUCCAUUUUCCCAUUUCAUUUGAUAUGUUUUUCAACCUGCUGCAAGUCUUACUUAACUUGUCAUAUUGGAUUUGCAUUACAGCAAGGAUACAGUGGGACAAUAUGAGAGCCACACCUCUUUCACUCUUCCUGGCCUCUACCGUGUUGUUCACGGUAUCAAUGUCUUCGACCCCAAGUUCAACAUUGUUUCCCCCGGUGCGGACAUGAGCAUCUACUUCUCUUACAAUGAGGAGAACCGUAGGCUCAAGCAUUUCCAUUCCGAAAUCGAGGAACUUCUCUACAGUGAUGUCGAGAACAAAGAACACUUGUGAGUACAGCUAUACCACAUUGCUUGCCCACUACUACUUGACCGAAUUUGUGAAACCGGUAGAUCUUACUUAUUUACGCGUUGAUGUGGUCAUUUAAUAGGGGGGUGCUCAAGGAUCGCAGCAAGCCAAUCAUCUUCACAAUGGCAAGGCUGGACAGGGUAAAGAACUUGACCGGGCUCGUAGAGUGGUACGGUAAGAACAAGAAGCUGCGAGAAUUAGUGAACCUUGUGAUCGUCGGAGGAGACAGGAGGAAGGAGUCGAAAGAUCUGGAAGAGCAAGCUGAGAUGAAGAAGAUGUACAGCCUGAUCGAGGAGUACAAGCUGCAAGGACAGUUCAGGUGGAUAUCCUCUCAGAUGGACCGGGUGAGGAACGGCGAGCUCUACCGGUGCAUUGCUGACACCAAGGGAGCAUUUGUGCAGCCCGCUCUUUACGAGGCGUUUGGCCUCACGGUUGUGGAAGCCAUGACCUGUGGUUUGCCUACAUUUGCCACCAACAACGGUGGGCCGGCUGAGAUCAUCGUUCAUGGCAAGUCGGGGUACCACAUUGACCCGUACCAUGGGGACCAGGCUGCUGAGCUUCUGGUGGACUUCUUCAAGAAGUCGAAGGCUGAUCCGUCCCACUGGGAAAAGAUAUCUGAUGGAGGACUCCAGCGUAUUCAAGAGAAGUAUGCUUUGGGUUCUUUUUCUUUAGAAUUAGUAGUCUUGUUGAGUGAGGACAUGAAUGUAAUUUUGUUUAUUGGUUGUGGUUGUGGAAUAUAGGUAUACAUGGCAGAUAUACUCGCAGAGGCUGCUGACACUGACGGCAGUAUAUGGAUUCUGGAAGCAUGUUUCGAACUUGGAUCGACAGGAGAGCCGACGAUAUAUCGAGAUGUUCUAUGCCCUCAAGUACCGUAAACUGGUAAGUGGUUAUCGGUGAAGUGUAAACGGUACAAUUAAUGGGGGGUUUGAUUGUAGUUUUUUUAUGAAUGUGUGAAUGAAUUGCAAUGCAGGCGGAAGGUGUUCCACUGACGGAAGAGUGAAGGGGCUUGGAGAAGAGAAUGGCCCGUAUGUGAACUGUGAAGCGAGAGUGGGGGCUCGGGAUUGUGAUCCUGUACCUGUUUUGUGUGUUUACCGUGAAUAAAUAUAUUGUUUGUAUUGAAAUGUCAUUUUGUUUGACGAAAAGCUCCUUUUCGCAGUUGUUGUUUGUACUGGUCCUUGUUUUUUUCUGUGUCGCUCGCUGUGUUUUGGGUUUUUGGAGUCUGCUGCUGUGAUCUUUUUCCUGUACCAUUUUCCGGCAUUGUUCCAACGGUUUCAAGGUAUUAGGCUGAGAGAGCCCAAUUGAAUGCUUUGUUGCAUCGAUUAUCAUUUUGUUUCAGUUUCGCUCAUUUUAGCCACAAAGACAAGACAACAAAUGGAAUUUCGCUCACGUUUCUUUCUCG